GAUGAACGCUGGCGGCGUGCCUAAUACAUGCAAGUCGAGCGAACAGACGAGGAGCUUGCUCCUCUGACGUUAGCGGCGGACGGGUGAGUAACACGUGGAUAACCUACCUAUAAGACUGGGAUAACUUCGGGAGACCGGAGCUAAUACCGGAUAAUAUAUUGAACCGCAUGGUUCAAUAGUGAAAGACGGUUUUGCUGUCACUUAUAGAUGGACCCGCGCCGCAUUAGCUAGUUGGUAAGGUAACGGCUUACCAAGGCAACGAUGCGUAGCCGACCUGAGGGGGUGAUCGGCCACACUGGAACUGAGACACGGUCCAGACUCCUACGGGAGGCAGCAGUAGGGAAUCUUCCGCAAUGGGCGAAAGCCUGACGGAGCAACGCCGCGUGAGUGAUGAAGGUCUUCGGAUCGUAAAACUCUGUUAUUAGGGAAGAACAAAUGUGUAAGUAACUAUGCACGUCUUGACGGUACCUAAUCAGAAAGCCACGGCUAACUACGUG
This 497-nucleotide ribosomal RNA is filed under the name uncultured bacterium. RNAcentral describes it as "partial 16S ribosomal RNA". It matches the Rfam family "Bacterial small subunit ribosomal RNA", at positions 28 to 507 of the family's 1533-position model. The record is from RNAcentral.